RNAcentral lists this ribosomal RNA (253 nucleotides) under uncultured bacterium. Its description in RNAcentral is "partial 16S ribosomal RNA". It matches the Rfam family "Bacterial small subunit ribosomal RNA", at positions 524 to 776 of the family's 1533-position model. The record is from RNAcentral.
UACGUAGGGCGCAAGCGUUGUCCGGAAUUAUUGGGCGUAAAGAGCUCGUAGGCGGUCUGUCGCGUCGGCUGUGAAAACCCGGGGCUCAACCCCGGGCCUGCAGUCGAUACGGGCAGACUAGAGUGCGGUAGGGGAGACUGGAAUUCCUGGUGUAGCGGUGAAAUGCGCAGAUAUCAGGAGGAACACCCGUGGCGAAGGCGGCUCUCUGGGACGGUACUGACGCUGAGACGCGAAAGCGUGGGGAGCGAACAGG